This 253-nucleotide ribosomal RNA is filed under the name uncultured bacterium. RNAcentral describes it as "partial 16S ribosomal RNA". It matches the Rfam family "Bacterial small subunit ribosomal RNA", at positions 524 to 776 of the family's 1533-position model. The record is from RNAcentral.
UACGGGGGGGGCAAGCGUUGUUCGGAAUUACUGGGCGUAAAGGGCGCGUAGGCGGCCCUCUAAGUCAGACGUGAAAUCCCUCGGCUCAACCGGGGAACUGCGUCUGAUACUGGAGGGCUUGAAUCCGGGAGAGGGAUGUGGAAUUCCAGGUGUAGCGGUGAAAUGCGUAGAUAUCUGGAGGAACACCGGUGGCGAAGGCGGCAUCCUGGACCGGUAUUGACGCUGAGGCGCGAAAGCCAGGGGAGCGAACGGG